This 802-nucleotide long non-coding RNA is filed under the name Equus caballus (horse). RNAcentral's name for it is "lncRNA (ENSECAG00000032678.2)". The record is from RNAcentral. Lineage: Eukaryota; Metazoa; Chordata; Mammalia; Perissodactyla; Equidae.
AUUGGGCCCUGUCUCAGCAAGGCAGUUUUUUGCAACAGUCUGAAAGGAUAAGAAAAGGAAAAAUGUUAUUUCCUCUCGUUUCCUCAUCAGUUGCUGUGUGUGUCACAGAACAGAGGUGGAGGGGAAGCGAGGACCCCGGUGGCGAAGCUUGUCAGGGCAGACAGGCUGAUUCCAUUCUCCCUUCCUUUCCCCGUGACCUUAGGCAAGUCAUUAACCUCCCUUGCCUCUCAAGCUCCUUCCAUAAAGCGUGACGUCCCUGCCGAUUGUUAGAUGAAAGAUCCGAUGUGAGUGCAGAGUUUAUAUAUAGCGCCCUUUAUACCCAACACAUGAAAGAAAUUAGCUAGAAUAGGCGGGGCAUCAGGUGGAGGAUGUGUGAGUGGUGGCUCCCUGUGACCCCAGCCUUUGGAUUCUGGUGCUUUCAACAGCCUUAUUUGAAGAAACCUCCUCAGUGGAAAACGGACUGUGGCUGACGACGCCUGUCAUCUGUGCUGUCGCUGGAGGGCAGAACGCUGGUGCCCGGCAUUGUCAGGCCCUGAGUUUACCUGCAAGUGGGCACGUAUUGCCCUCCCCGGGCCUCACCAGACUCCGCUGGCUCCUGAAAACUCUCCAGCCUGACUCUGCUUUUUCUCAUUUUGUUUAUUCUUUCAAAAUAUACAGUAUACUCCUUUCAGGCAGGUGCAAGAAUUUCUGUAAUAAUUCAUGUUCUCAUUUUCAGGAGCUAUGGAGUUGGUUUCAGCCCAGUCGAGAGGGAUAUGUGACAAGCGGGUGACGUCCACUGAUAAUAAACACAUGUUGAAAGUCC